AGCGCUGUGAGGCGUUGAGCUAACCAAUACUAAUUGCCCGUGAGGCUUGACCAUAUAACGCCCAAGCAAUU
RNAcentral lists this ribosomal RNA (71 nucleotides) under Pseudomonas protegens. RNAcentral describes it as "partial 23S ribosomal RNA". The record is from RNAcentral. Lineage: Bacteria; Pseudomonadati; Pseudomonadota; Gammaproteobacteria; Pseudomonadales; Pseudomonadaceae.